Molecule: ribosomal RNA, 758 nt
Filed under: Echinostoma paraensei
Lineage: Eukaryota; Metazoa; Platyhelminthes; Trematoda; Plagiorchiida; Echinostomatidae
Description: 12S ribosomal RNA
Source: RNAcentral
UAAUCUAUUUAAUUCUGGUUGAAGAAGAUAAGGAAGCAAGGUCACAUAAAAUAUUUGUAUAAAUAUUCAUAAAGGAUAACCUUUUGUGAUAAUUAGUGUCUAAAACUUAGGUUUCGGAGAAAUCCGGAUUAGGUUGUUUUCUAAAGGAGUGGUGAAUACACAGUGCCAGCAUCCGCGGUUAUUCUGUUAACUUUAAUCUUCGGGAAUAGGUGUAAAAAAUAUAGGAGGUAUUAACCAGUUUUGAGUAGAAUCUUUCUGUGUUGAAAAAGAGCUCCUAGUUGUAUUUUUAAGGGCGUAUAUAUUAAGGGGAUUAGAUACCCCCGUAAUGUGCUUUAAGUUUUGCUCCUUAGUAGAAACUAAAAGGAUUUGGCAGCCGAUGAGGUUCUUCCGGGGGAGUGUGUAUCGUAAGAGACAGUCCGCUUAUGAAUUGACCCCAUCUAUUUAUGUUAGUGUAUAUCCGGUUUAAAAUUUGUGGUUAAUAUCUAUGAGUGUAACGAUGAAUGUUUAAGCCAGGUCUAUGUGCUGCUUAUGUUGGGGGGCUUAUGCACUACAUUAUUAAAGGUGUUAGCUGGUUGUUUGCUGAUAAUGUUUAGGACUCGGAAGUAGGCUUGAGAAAGAUAGUGUUUUCGGUCGAAUUAGAUUUAGUUGGGGUACACACCGCCCGUCACCCAGGGCGUUAGCUGUGGUAAGUCGUAACAUGGUAAUGCUAGGGGAACCUGGUGUUAGUUAAUCCAACAGUUAAUGCUGUUUCAGGAUUU